CCUGUUUUGUAGAUCAUCACAUGCGGCUGAGAGUUGCCGUUCGCAUUGCAGCAGGUAGCGUAACAUCCUGUGCUGUUUAGCCUCCGUGUCUUCCACGGAGCUAACGCGGUCUUCUAGCUCGCCGAUUCUGUGCUGAUGGUCCACUCACUCAUCAGCUGAUCAUCGUUGCUGUCAUUACAAGCAGCUGAGAUGUCAGGGCUUACUUGAGGCGAGCUUCUUUUUUUGUUGUCAUUUUCCUUUGGAUUUGCUUGUUUAUUUCCCUGUCUGGUCUUCGAGGCUGCACUCAUAUCUGGGUCUUGUAUUUUCUUAGUUCGAAGGUCUUUUAAAAUUGUCACUUUUCUAACUUCUCUGACGGAGCCUAGCGUCUAAGCGGCAUCACUCAUCAUGACGUCACCGGAAGUCCAAACGGAAAUUUUAUU
Molecule: long non-coding RNA, 419 nt
Organism: Oryzias melastigma (Indian medaka)
Lineage: Eukaryota; Metazoa; Chordata; Actinopteri; Beloniformes; Adrianichthyidae
Exons: 2
Source: RefSeq, a predicted model, not a curated record